Molecule: ribosomal RNA, 447 nt
Filed under: Triticum aestivum (bread wheat)
Lineage: Eukaryota; Viridiplantae; Streptophyta; Magnoliopsida; Poales; Poaceae
Description: partial small subunit ribosomal RNA
Source: RNAcentral
AUGCCCACAACACAACUUAUGCAGAGAGCAAGUGAUCAAUUGUUCUUUCUUCCUUUUGUCCUAAUCACUUCUGCAAAAGGGACUGAUGCAGAAGUAAAGCGUUUCAAGGCAAAUAAAUCUAGUGAUGAGAAUGGUAGUUUCAGAAAAGGUGUUGAAGCUGAUUCAAGAAGUGCUAGUAAGGUUGUUGAUCAAAAUACUCCGCCACCAAAGCAAGAUUUCAUCCAAGUGAGGGCAAGAAGGGGUCAGGCAACUGAUAGCCAUAUCCUUGCAGAAAGGGUCAGUUCAAUGCAUAGUUUUCACUUCUAUAGUAGAAUUUAUCAUGCACACGUUACACACAGCUUGACGAAAUAUCCACUGAUCUACUAUCAUGCAUGUACCUCAAGACUGAAGAACGACGACUUGAGACUUGUGGUUGCCCGGCCUUGGCUGUCGUUUCACGUCUCCUAG